RNAcentral lists this ribosomal RNA (619 nucleotides) under Calliblepharis jubata. RNAcentral describes it as "eukaryotic LSU rRNA". It matches the Rfam family "Eukaryotic large subunit ribosomal RNA", at positions 509 to 1142 of the family's 3401-position model. The record is from RNAcentral. Lineage: Eukaryota; Rhodophyta; Florideophyceae; Gigartinales; Cystocloniaceae.
AUUGCAUGUGUUCAGCCCUUUUUUGGGUGCAUUGACAUGGAAUUUUAUUCGCCGUGGGUUUUUUGGGAAUGGAUUUUGCAUUCCUAUAGACUGAGGGCUCCCUUCGGGUUGAGGACGGCAAAGUGACGACGCGAUACGACCCGUCUUGAAACACGGACCAAGGAGUCUAGCGCGAUUGCGAGUCUAAGGGUGCUGAAACCUGAUGGCGCAGUGAAAGCGAGUCUAAAAACGAGCAGUUUGAGGCGGCAUAAAAUCGUUGAUUUUAAGUCCGACCUAGAGCAAUUGCGCUGGGACCCGAAAGAUGGUGAACUAUGCCGGAGUAGGGCGAAGCCAGAGGAAACUCUGGUGGAGGCUCGUAGCGGUGCUGACGUGCAAAUCGCUCGUCCAACUUGGGUAUAGGGGCGAAAGACUAAUCGAACCAUCUAGUAGCUGGUUCCCUCCGAAGUUUCUCUCAGGAUAGCGGGCCGACUUGUUGUUGUUCUGUGUGGUAAAGCGAAUGAUUAGCGUAAUUGGGGACAUUUGGUCUUCGGGCGAUUCUCAAACUUUAAAUACGCAGGGGUGUCGCUGCUUUGUUGAGCGGCACCGGUAAAAACGUCGGCCCUGUGGGCCACUUUUGGUA